Ruditapes philippinarum (Manila clam) is the source of this 431-nucleotide long non-coding RNA. RefSeq lists it as uncharacterized. The transcript is spliced from 2 exons. The record is from RefSeq and is a predicted model, not a curated record. Lineage: Eukaryota; Metazoa; Mollusca; Bivalvia; Venerida; Veneridae.
GACGUCACAGGGUACUAUAAAUACUGCGCGUUAGCAUAUCGUUGUCAUCUCAUAUCAGGUCGUCUGGUAGAAAAGUACUCUACGGAGUAGAUAAUUGUAGACGAUUAAAUAACCGAAAAUGGAUAGGAUACUGGUGAAAUUCACUUGUUGUUAUUGUUAAACAGUUAUAAUAAUUACUUUGCCAGUGUAGAGAACGGUUGUUCCAGAAAUGGUUCAUACCAAAUCUGGUAUAAUACCCAAUCUGGUAUAGUACCCAAUCUGGUAACUACCAGAUCUGGUAUCUCAUUAUAUUGUACCAAACCUGGUACUUGUUUACUGAAUCUGGUCAUCUAUAGGUAUGAUAAUAAUAGACUUUAGGCAUCCAUGACUAUGUAUAUUUAAAUUAAUUGAUCUAUAUAAUAUUUUAAUUAAAAGAGUUUUAAGUUACAAAA